AUACGUAGGGUGCAAGCGUUAAUCGGAAUUACUGGGCGUAAAGCGUGCGCAGGCGGUUCGGAAAGAAGGAUGUGAAAUCCCAGGGCUCAACCUUGGAACUGCAUUCUUAACUACCGAACUAGAGUAUGUCAGAGGGGGGUAGAAUUCCGCGUGUAGCAGUGAAAUGCGUAGAUAUGCGGAGGAAUACCGAUGGCGAAGGCAGCCCCCUGGGAUAAUACUGACGCUCACGCACGAAAGCGUGGGUAGCAAACAGGAUUAGAUACCCUGGUAGUCCACGCCCUAAACGAUGUCAACUAGCUGUUGGGCCCUUCGGGGCUUAGUAGCGUAGCUAACGCGUGAAGUUGACCGCCUGGGGAGUACGGUCGCAAGAUUAAAACUCAAAGGAAUUGACGGGG
RNAcentral lists this ribosomal RNA (395 nucleotides) under uncultured bacterium. RNAcentral's name for it is "partial 16S ribosomal RNA". It matches the Rfam family "Bacterial small subunit ribosomal RNA", at positions 523 to 918 of the family's 1533-position model. The record is from RNAcentral.